AACGAACGCUGGCGGCAGGCCUAACACAUGCAAGUCGAGCGAGACCUUUGGGUCUAGCGGCGGACGGGUGAGUAACGCGUGGGAAUAUGCCCUUUGGUACGGAAUAGCCUCGGGAAACUGAGAGUAAUACCGUAUGCGCCCUUCGGGGGAAAGAUUUAUCGCCAAAGGAUUAGCCCGCGUUGGAUUAGGUAGUUGGUGGGGUAAUGGCCUACCAAGCCUACGAUCCAUAGCUGGUUUGAGAGGAUGAUCAGCCACACUGGGACUGAGACACGGCCCAGACUCCUACGGGAGGCAGCAGUGGGGAAUCUUAGACAAUGGGGGCAACCCUGAUCUAGCCAUGCCGCGUGAGUGAUGAAGGCCUUAGGGUUGUAAAGCUCUUUCAGCUGGGAAGAUAAUGACGGUACCAGCAGAAGAAGCCCCGGCUAACUCCGUGCCAGCCGCCGCAGUAA
This 449-nucleotide ribosomal RNA is filed under the name uncultured bacterium. Its description in RNAcentral is "partial 16S ribosomal RNA". It matches the Rfam family "Bacterial small subunit ribosomal RNA", at positions 29 to 523 of the family's 1533-position model. The record is from RNAcentral.